Molecule: unclassified non-coding RNA, 289 nt
Organism: Fukomys damarensis (Damara mole-rat)
Lineage: Eukaryota; Metazoa; Chordata; Mammalia; Rodentia; Bathyergidae
Gene: 7SK
Rfam family: 7SK RNA
About the family: 7SK was discovered as an abundant small nuclear RNA in the mid-70s but a possible function has only recently been suggested. Two independent studies have found that 7SK RNA binds the CDK9/cyclin T complex (known as elongation factor P-TEFb).
Source: Ensembl
GGAUAUGAAGGCUAUCUGGCUGCGAUAUCUGUCACCCCACUGAUCACCAGGGUUGCUUCAGCUGAUUGGGCUGGCUAGGUGGGUGUCCUCUUCCUCCCUCACCAUUCCAUAUGUGUUCCUCCCUCUCAAAGCUGCUUGCUGGGGUCAAGAUGAAGACCACGCCUGACAGAGGAGGACCAUUUCCUCAGUCAAGUAGCUGUGCUCCCCUGCUAGAACUGCCAAACAAGCUCUCAUAGAAACAGGCACCAGAGUCACCAUCCUAAAGCUGCACUCUACAGCUAUCCUCUUA